This 279-nucleotide ribosomal RNA is filed under the name uncultured bacterium. RNAcentral describes it as "partial 16S ribosomal RNA". It matches the Rfam family "Bacterial small subunit ribosomal RNA", at positions 506 to 784 of the family's 1533-position model. The record is from RNAcentral.
UGCCAGCAGCCGCGGUAAUACGAAAGGUGCAAGCGUUGUUCGGAUUUACUGGGCGUAAAGAGAUCGUAGGUGGUUUAUUAAGUCGGAUGUGAAAUCCCGGGGCUCAACCCCGGAACUGCAUUCGAUACUGGUAGACUAGAGUUUGGGAGGGGUAAGCGGAAUUCCGUGUGUAGGGGUGAAAUCCGUAGAUAUUCGGAGGAACACCAGUGGCGAAGGCGGCUUUCUGGACCGAUACUGACGCUGAGACGCGAAAGCGUGGGGAGCAAACAGGAUUAGAUA